GUCCUGGCCCUAAACGUUGGGUACUAGGUAGUAGACUAGACAUGGGUUUACUUCCGAAGCAAAAGUGCUAAGUACCCCGCCUGGGGAGUAUGGUCGCAAGGCUGAAACUCAAAGGAAUUGACGGGGCUCACACAAGCGGUGGAGCAUGUGGCUUAAUUCGAGGCUACGCGAAGAACCUUAUCCUGGACUUGACAUGUUCGAAAGAGUUCGCAGGUAGAACCCCGGAAACGGGAACGAACGGUAUCCAAUCCGGAAGCGAACACAGGUGCUGCAUGGCUGUCGU
RNAcentral lists this ribosomal RNA (283 nucleotides) under uncultured bacterium. RNAcentral describes it as "partial 16S ribosomal RNA". It matches the Rfam family "Bacterial small subunit ribosomal RNA", at positions 793 to 1055 of the family's 1533-position model. The record is from RNAcentral.